GGGCCCGCACAAGCGGUGGAGUAUGUGGUUUAAUUCGAUGCAACGCGAAGAACCUUACCAGGGUUUGACAUCCUGCGAAUCUCUUGGAAACGAGAGAGUGCCUUCGGGAGCGCAGUGACAGGUGGUGCAUGGCUGUCGUCAGCUCGUGUCGUGAGAUGUUGGGUUAAGUCCCGCAACGAGCGCAACCCACGUCUUUAGUUGCCAGCACUUCGGGUGGGAACUCUAAGGAGACUGCCGGUGACAAACCGGAGGAAGGCGGGGACGACGUCAAGUCAUCAUGGCCCUUACGAGUAGGGCUACACACGUGCUACAAUGGCAAGUACAGAGGGCCGCGAAGCCGCGAGGUGGAGCUAAUCUCACAAAGCUUGUCGUAGUCCGGAUUGGAGUCUGCAACUCGACUCCAUGAAGUCGGAAUCGCUAGUAAUCG
This 427-nucleotide ribosomal RNA is filed under the name uncultured bacterium. RNAcentral describes it as "bacterial SSU rRNA". It matches the Rfam family "Bacterial small subunit ribosomal RNA", at positions 917 to 1344 of the family's 1533-position model. The record is from RNAcentral.